UGGGGAAUUGUUCACAAUGGGCGCAAGCCUGAUGACGCAACGCCGCGUGGAGGAUGAAGGUCUUCGGAUUGUAAACUCCUGUUGCCCGGGACGAAAAGCUCCGACCUAACACGUCGGAGUCUGACGGUACCGGGUGAGGAAGCCCCGGCUAACUCUGUGCCAGCAGCCGCGGUAAUACAGAGGGGGCAAGCGUUGUUCGGAAUUACUGGGCGUAAAGGGCGCGUAGGCGGCCUGUUAAGUCAGACGUGAAAUCCCCGGGCUCAACCCGGGAACUGCGUCUGAUACUGGUAGGCUUGAAUCCGGGAGAGGGAUGCGGAAUUCCAGGUGUAGCGGUGAAAUGCGUAGAUAUCUGGAGGAACACCGGUGGCGAAGGCGGCAUCCUGGACCGGCAUUGACGCUGAGGCGCGAAAGCCAGGGGAGCAAACGGGAUUAGAUACCCCGGUAGUCCUGGCCCUAAACGAUGAAUGCUUGGUGUGGCGGGUAUCGAUCCCUGCUGUGCCGAAGCUAACG
RNAcentral lists this ribosomal RNA (510 nucleotides) under uncultured Acidobacteriota bacterium. RNAcentral's name for it is "bacterial SSU rRNA". It matches the Rfam family "Bacterial small subunit ribosomal RNA", at positions 355 to 857 of the family's 1533-position model. Lineage: Bacteria; Pseudomonadati; Acidobacteriota. The record is from RNAcentral.